This is a long non-coding RNA of Pleuronectes platessa (European plaice), 1783 nucleotides long. RefSeq lists it as uncharacterized. The record is from RefSeq and is a predicted model, not a curated record. The transcript is spliced from 3 exons. Lineage: Eukaryota; Metazoa; Chordata; Actinopteri; Pleuronectiformes; Pleuronectidae.
CCUGGAGCGCAAUGACGUUGUUCAGCGUGUAUAAAACUCCAGGAGCCAGGAGAGAGAUGAGAAACACGGAGACUUCCACCGGGGGCCUCAUUGUUCAAAACGUAUUGUUUGAAAAGUCCAGAGAGAAAUAUUCCCAGUUAAACGCGGUGACAGGCGGUAGAACCAGAACGAGGCAUGUCAGGAUCCAGUGUCCUCUCCACUGCUGGCAGAGGCAAGGAGACAAUUAUACAGGCGCGUCAGUCGUUGGCUUUUGAUCUGUGAAGAAACAACGCACUUGCUCGCUCCAGCUCUGUCUGCAGGUCUCAAAGUUCAACCCAGGAGUCACGACCACCAGGUGGAAAUUUAAAGGAAACGCAUGGAAACGUUUUGGGUCUUGCGUCAUGCGUAAAUUACGCAUUUGGCUCUGCAUUCUUCAUUUGAUAUCUUGAUUUGAUCUGUUGGCUGAUGUUGAUUUUGAACUUAACGAGAUUUAGUUCCAUAUGUUGCUGACAAACCAUUUGAUUCAUAUAUGUUGAGACUGCAGCUAGUACACACUGCCGCCUGCUGGUGGCAGCUUUCCUCCACUCUUGUCCUCAACUUGUCCUUCUCUUUUUUAGGAUUCCAGGAACAUGAGAUAAGUUGGAAAGGCAAAUAGUUAAUAAUAAAAAAGAAAAAAAAUCUGUGUCAUAUUGCACAGGUUGAAGAGUUUUGUAGGCCCCUGUGGCCCCUGGGGUUCACUUGAGGAGCCAUCUGUCCGUGUCGGUGUAAGAUUAAGAACAGCUAAGUCUAAUGUCUCCAUGCUUGAUUAAAUUCUGGAUUAUAUGCGAGAUGGAACAUAAAGUUCAGAACAAAGAUUAUAUUGUUUCAUUGUUGUCAGGGUGUUUGACUAAAACGGAUCAUUACUGUUACAUUUCUUAAUGCGGUCUCUUUGCGUAAUAUUGGAUCACAUUACUCUAUUUACUGCAGAUCAUCAGCAUUAUGUAACUGCCUCUUAUGGAUGAACAACAUUUGUAAAGCAGGCCUUCAUCUAAUGCAACUUUAUCUUCUGUAACAAAGCGGCUGAAGAGGAUUAUGCUGCUGUUGCCACAGAAACUUAGUGACCAGUGGAAAGAGAGAGUGGAGAGGGGUGGGGAGUUCAAGAAGAGAGUGGAAGCCGACAGAUUCAAUCAGACUUACUGGAAAACCCUUCGCCCACACAGCUGACAGUUUUUUUCAUUUUGACAUUUUCAAGAUUUCCUUCUUCAAGCAUGUUUCACCCUUUAAUCAUCGGCAUCAUGGUUGUAAACUGCUCCCUAACUGUCAUCUACUGGACCUUCCUGCUGGGAGAUGCCUACUUCAAGUGGAUGUUGGAGCCAGAAGACAAACCCACAAAGGUGGUCACCCCGGCCUGAGGGAGUCACUGUCAAUAUGGACCAACUUCACUGAGUGGAUGAAGAACAAGACCCCAAAUGCGAACGUAAAAAAAUUCAUGAAGUGAACGGAUCCUGCAAUAGAAGAGACUGGAAUCCUUCUCACAGAGCCGCCUGUUUACAACAUCUGCUAAUUUGGACGUCCUGUCUAUAUAUGCACAAGUCAACGAAAAAAAAAGCAGAGGAGCCGUUUCGAGUCUUGAUCACAAGGUAGGGACUCGACUUUGUGUCCUAAAUCAUCAGCAUCAUCUCUUCCCCUCCAUAACAUUUGAUUAACUUUCAUAUUUGAAAAGCAGUUGACAGUCUUCCAUAAGUUUAAUUUGAUGAUGUGUAGUUUUCCGACCCCUGGGAACAUUUACUGGUCACAAAGCUCAGAUUGCAGUUUUGCCGUGAAA